This 460-nucleotide ribosomal RNA is filed under the name uncultured bacterium. RNAcentral describes it as "partial 16S ribosomal RNA". It matches the Rfam family "Bacterial small subunit ribosomal RNA", at positions 338 to 795 of the family's 1533-position model. The record is from RNAcentral.
CCUACGGGAGGCAGCAGUGAGGAAUAUUGGUCAAUGGACGGAAGUCUGAACCAGCCAUGUCGCGUGCAGGAAGACGGCCCUAUGAGUUGUAAACCGCUUUUGUACAAGGGUAAACCUGAAUACGUGUACUCAGCUGAAAGUACCGUACGAAUAAGGAUCGGCUAACUCCGUGCCAGCAGCCGCGGUAAUACGGAGGAUCCAAGCGUUAUCCGGAUUUAUUGGGUUUAAAGGGUGCGUAGGCGGAUUGGUAAGUUAGAGGUGAAAAGUUCGGGCUUAACUCGGGAAGUGCCUUUAGUACUGGUAGUCUAGAGAGGGGAUGCGGUAGGCGGAAUGUGUGGUGUAGCGGUGAAAUGCUUAGAGAUCAUGCAGAACGCCGAUUGCGAAGGCAGCUUACCAAUCUAUGUCUGACGUUGAGGCACGAAAGCGUGGGGAGCGAACAGGAUUAGAUACCCUUGUAGUC